UUUUAUUGUUCGCAAACAGGCAACAAAAUGUAUAGUGAUACUACAAGUAAUAGCGCAAUGCUGCCGAACUAUCUGGAAACUGUUGUUACAGUGACUAAACAAAUGACAAGGCUGCAAUAUUUAUUGAGAAGGUGAGAAGGAGAUUUGUUUUUACAACAGCUAACAAAUUCAGAGGCAGCACUGGGGCCGAGGCAGUCCUGCUGCAGACAACAGCUGCCCUCUAGACAGGCGAGCACAGGCUGAGCUAGUUUGUGUAUAAUAAUCUGGCGGUCCUAGAGCGGCCCGUCAUGUAAUUUAAUGGUCGAUUGGAAUGAUUACACUGUUAAGACCACGAAGGCUUGUGGAACUCAGCCAGGACUGAACGUGGAGGAAAUGCUGAGAGAUGCUGGUUGGAUGAUAAACAUGCGGCUGUCCACUUACUCCCUCAUGCGUCUUCAAUGUACAGUCAAGUGUUCACUCAACGGUUGGUUGGACGAAGGCUGUGUCCCAGAGGUCUGCCUGAUGAGCAGUUCAUGGAUACCCCACCUCCCCAUUUGUCCUCAACCUGCUUUGACCAUCUCCACCACCGUCAUUUGAACCCCCUGUGUUAUAGAAGGGGUGAAAAUGUCAACAUUGAGACGGAUAACUGCUGCCAAUUAUGCUAAAUGGCCGACAUCAACUGCCAGUGUGUUGACUUUAGCCUGCUUUUAUGUUCACUGUUAGAUAAUCAAAGAAAAACAAUGAAUGUAAACACACAUGUGGGACAUUAGGGAUAGGAUUGUUGCUAUAUGGAAAUAUGUGUUAGUAAAUUCCUUGUUUGUGCAAACUUACUUGGCGAAUAAAGCUGAUUCUGAUU
Osmerus eperlanus (European smelt) is the source of this 835-nucleotide long non-coding RNA. RefSeq lists it as uncharacterized. The transcript has 2 exons. NCBI's taxonomy places the organism in Eukaryota, Metazoa, Chordata, Actinopteri, Osmeriformes, Osmeridae. The record is from RefSeq and is a predicted model, not a curated record.